AUGUUCAGACCUGCAGGACGACUGUACCCCCACCCCGGGGGUGCUAAGACCCGGAGUGGGACCAACCUGAGUUCACAGCUGCCAGGGGGGCAGGGAGCCGAGCGCGCCCCCUCGAGGUUAGCGCGGACACAGGAGGACGUCACCGGUCACUCGGGACGUCUUCCACCCUCAGCCACGCCACGGGGGAGGCUUGGUUUGGAAAGCGCUACGACCCCCCCACCCCUGUCACACUGCUGCUUUCAGCUAAAACACAGGGUUAGCUGGAAUUUUCGUCCAGACCUCAAAGAUCUGGUCGCAUUGUCUGCGACGUUUCCUUCGGAGGGCUCCUCCCCCGUGCUUAACAAAAAGGGCGAAGAUCUGAGCGCCUGGGGAGCUUGCGGGAUGUGGAUAAAGGCCGGGCCACCCCGGUGCCACGGCUGCAGAGAAGCGCAGAAUAACGCAGGGAGGGAAGCCUUCAGAAGUGGACGCAUUGGAGCAGGACUGACAGUCACCUGUCCACUCGCCCGGAGGUUAAUAAGAGACUGUUUGAUGGGGCCACAGAAGAAGGGCACUGGGAACUGAACCCCAACCUGAUGGAUUAGUCUUAUGCCUGUCACAGCAGCCCAAGGUCAGAAUUCAGUGCGCUUGCGGCCAGCAGCCUUGCUGAAUCUUCUGUGAUGCUCCAGUAUCCAGGUGAGGCACUGUG
RNAcentral lists this long non-coding RNA (685 nucleotides) under Fukomys damarensis (Damara mole-rat). RNAcentral's name for it is "lncRNA (ENSFDAG00000031762.1)". Lineage: Eukaryota; Metazoa; Chordata; Mammalia; Rodentia; Bathyergidae. The record is from RNAcentral.